UCCUGUGCCUCCUGGUUGCUGAGUGUUCACCUGGACCUUCUGACUACCUUCCCUGUGCUAUUCCAUCAGCCUACAGACCUGGUACCUGGAUUUUUGCCCGAGAUGAUUCCUACCACCUUACUACUGAAGAAGACACCCAUUCCAGUGGACCACUGUGACCCAGGAGGCAUUCAGCCAUCAUGAUGUGGCCUUUACCUCCACUCCUGUCCUGUUCUACCCAGAUUCAGCACAGCCCUUUAUAGUGAAGUCAGAGUCCUCAAGCCAAAUAGCUAAAGCUGUUUUAUCACAACAAAGGCCUAGUUUGUUCCAUGAGUGUGCAUUUCAUUUCUUCAGUUAAAGCCUUCAGAGACACAUAAUAAAUUUGGACCAGGGGAUUUUUUAGUUAUUAAUGCUCUCUGAAGAAAGGGAACAUCUUUUUGAGAGCAGCAUUGGACCAUACCCCACAAUCUCAAAUGAUUGAAAUUCAUGAACAUCUAGGAUCCCAUGAAGGUCACUGGACCCUGUUUUUUCUACUUCAAAUCCUGUAGUAGCCUACUGAAUGAGAAAACAUAUUCUGACCCAUUGGGAUCAAAUCAAAGGCACAGUGAACUCCUCAUAGCAUCUUCUUUGGAAUUACUCAGGAACCAGAACUUUUUACACAAAUGUAAGAAAUUCUACCAAGGAGUCCCCUUACCUAAGCAUCUCACAAGGCUGCAUCAGAUUCCAGAAAAGGCUUCUCUUGAUACAUCAAGCAUUUUGUGACCGACUUAUUCUUAGAUCAUUGGUUUUCCAAAGGCUUUGUGGCCAUGAAGCCCUUUGAGUGAAAACUGCAGAAGCCCAGAGUAAAAGUGAAGCUGCUCUGGAUGAAGCAGUGAAGCAAGAGUAGGGGCCUGAAGCCUGCUACAACUAUCUUCCUUUGCCACCGUGGUGACACCUAAGGGGACUUCCUUACAACACCUUGAACUCUCCAGAACACAGUUUGAAAACCACUGCCCCAGACAGCAAUAUGUUUGACCUGAAUGGCAUUCCAGUCUUUUCUGUACCUCCACUCAGCACAGUUCAUGUUCAGUUGAUGCUGAACAUUCUUAGAAAUACUGUGUGUGAACUUAGAAAAGUGCAAGAAGACAGGCAUGUCUUUGACCCCAGGAAUGAUCAUGGGCUGAAAGUGGUGUCAAGUGAACCUAGAUUAACAGCCCUCCACUCCAGAUGGAUAUCCAGUGAUUCCUAGAAUGGGAUAUAGCCAGAGAACAAUUCUAUGCACCCUACACUGACAGACUCCCUUAAGCAACUUCUUUCACAAACACCAGAUGCUCUACUGGUACUUGAAGUACAUGACUUUGAAGUCUUGACCCUCCAUGGAUACCUGAAUUGCCAGCAAGCGGGUUUUGAAGCUGGUGCCUCAUUGAGGGCAUAUUAGAGCAACUUGUACAUUUGACCUCUUGUUAUCAACCAUGGUACUCUACUUCGUGUACAAGAGAUAACUAUGAAAGCUGAAUUCAGAUACUGGCAACAUUUCCUAAAGGGGCUCAAUAUCUAUCAUCUUUUCCAAACUACACAUCACUGUAUGACUCAACCAGUAGCAGUUAUAUUGCCCCUUGGUUUUUAUUCAGUUUAACUACUGUUUCCAAGAUAAAGGAGCUAAUAACCUUUAAAAAAAAAAAAAAAAAGCAAUUAUUUUUUCUUCAUCACUGGCAUAUCUGCCUAUUCUCCAGAAUUAUUAUGACUACUCAGCUCACUUUUAACAGUUGAUCUUCAAGAGACAAUCUUUGAACACCCCUCCUCAUGUGAUUUAAAAUGAAACCAUUUGGAAAAGUUUCUUCUAGCCAAUAAUAGAUUUUUUUUUAAUUGCUCUGCCUUGUGCCGAGAGAUGUUAUUUUAAGAUGAAUCUUUUGAUGUCUGAUACCACCAACUGUAGAUGGUAGGGAUAGUUGGAGGCUGGCCCUUUGAGCAGGCCAUGAUAGCUUAUUUGCUGGGCAUUUCAGAUAGCUUAUUGCCUACCCUUUUGCUGGAAACAGACUGAUUUGAAAAACAAAAUCUAUGAAGACUGCAGCUAAGGAUUUUAUCAGUAGACUUAAGAGCUUUUGUCCUUGUGGAUAUUUUAGUGGAACCACAACAGUCUUAAUACUGUCAUUUUACACUGACUCAGAGCAGCUGACGUCAUUCCUUGCCAUGAUAUAUAUUUAAGGCAGGCAUUGUAACAGACAUUAAGACAACUUAUCUGUUUCAGCAGGAAGGAUUCAGUUUAUGGACUCUCAGACCGGAUCAUGUUGAACAAGGAGAUUUUGAUAUGUGUCAUGAGAAAACUCAUCCUUUACUUCCCAGUCAAUUUAAAGGUCAGCUAUCCUGAGCUACUCGAAUGAAUGCACUGGUUAAACAUUGGGGAUAGUUUAUAUCCUCUCUCUCUAGGCCAGUUGUGAUUACAUGACUCCACUCUAUAUCUUGUCAAACAAGGCCUAAGUCUGGUUGCUGUAGACUGCUCACCCUCAGCAAAUAAAAAUAAAAUCUGGAUGACUAGCCUGCUUGUA
Theropithecus gelada (gelada) is the source of this 2504-nucleotide long non-coding RNA. NCBI's taxonomy places the organism in Eukaryota, Metazoa, Chordata, Mammalia, Primates, Cercopithecidae. The record is from Ensembl.